Molecule: ribosomal RNA, 879 nt
Filed under: uncultured bacterium
Lineage: Bacteria
Description: bacterial SSU rRNA
Rfam family: Bacterial small subunit ribosomal RNA
Source: RNAcentral
AGGCUUAACACAUGCAAGUCGAGGGGAAACGACAUCGAAAGCUUGCUUUUGAUGGGCGUCGACCGGCGCACGGGUGAGUAACGCGUAUCCAACCUGCCCACCACUUGGGGAUAACCUUGCGAAAGUAAGACUAAUACCCAAUGAUAUCUCUAGAAGACAUCUGAAAGAGAUUAAAGAUUUAUCGGUGAUGGAUGGGGAUGCGUCUGAUUAGCUUGUUGGCGGGGUAACGGCCCACCAAGGCGACGAUCAGUAGGGGUUCUGAGAGGAAGGUCCCCCACAUUGGAACUGAGACACGGUCCAAACUCCUACGGGAGGCAGCAGUGAGGAAUAUUGGUCAAUGGGCGAGAGCCUGAACCAGCCAAGUAGCGUGCAGGAUGACGGCCCUAUGGGUUGUAAACUGCUUUUAUAAGGGAAUAAAGUGAGUCUCGUGAGACUUUUUGCAUGUACCUUAUGAAUAAGGACCGGCUAAUUCCGUGCCAGCAGCUGCGGUAAUACGGAAGGUCCGGGCGUUAUCCGGAUUUAUUGGGUUUAAAGGGAGCGUAGGCCGGAGAUUAAGCGUGUUGUGAAAUGUAGAUGCUCAACAUCUGAACUGCAGCGCGAACUGGUUUCCUUGAGUACGCACAAAGUGGGCGGAAUUCGUGGUGUAGCGGUGAAAUGCUUAGAUAUCACGAAGAACUCCGAUUGCGAAGGCAGCUCACUGGAGCGCAACUGACGCUGAAGCUCGAAAGUGCGGGUAUCGAACAGGAUUAGAUACCCUGGUAGUCCGCACGGUAAACGAUGGAUGCCCGCUGUUGGUCUGAAUAGGUCAGCGGCCAAGCGAAAGCAUUAAGCAUCCCACCUGGGGAGUACGCCGGCAACGGUGAAACUCAAAGGAAUUGA